AGAGUUUGAUCCUGGCUCAGGAUGAACGCUGGCGGCGUGCCUAACACAUGCAAGUCGAGCGAUUCUCUUCGGAGAAGAGCGGCGGACGGGUGAGUAACGCGUGGGUAACCUGCCCUGUACACACGGAUAACAUACCGAAAGGUAUGCUAAUACGAGAUAAUAUGCUUUUAUCGCAUGGUAGAAGUAUCAAAGCUCAGGCGGUACAGGAUGGACCCGCGUCUGAUUAGCUAGUUGGUGAGGUAACGGCUCACCAAGGCGACGAUCAGUAGCCGACCUGAGAGGGUGAUCGGCCACAUUGGAACUGAGACACGGUCCAAACUCCUACGGGAGGCAGCAGUGGGGAAUAUUGCACAAUGGGCGAAAGCCUGAUGCAGCAACGCCGCGUGAGCGAUGAAGGCCUUCGGGUCGUAAAGCUCUGUCCUCAAGGAAGAUAAUGACGGUACUUGAGGAGGAAGCCCCGGCUAACUACGUGCCAGCAGCCGCGGUAAUACGUAGGGGGCUAGCGUUAUCCGGAAUUACUGGGCGUAAAGGGUGCGUAGGUGGUUUCUUAAGUCAGAGGUGAAAGGCUACGGCUCAACCGUAGUAAGCCUUUGAAACUGGGAAACUUGAGUGCAGGAGAGGAGAGUGGAAUUCCUAGUGUAGCGGUGAAAUGCGUAGAUAUUAGGAGGAACACCAGUUGCGAAGGCGGCUCUCUGGACUGUAACUGACACUGAGGCACGAAAGCGUGGGGAGCAACAGGAUUAGAUACCCUGGUAGUCCACGCCGUAAACGAUGAGUACUAGCUGUCGGAGGUUACCCCCUUCGGUGGCGCAGCUAACGCAUUAAGUACUCCGCCUGGGAAGUACGCUCGCAAGAGUGAAACUCAAAGGAAUUGACGGGGACCCGCACAAGUAGCGGAGCAUGUGGUUUAAUUCGAAGCAACGCGAAGAACCUUACCUAAGCUUGACAUCCUUUUGACCUCUCCCUAAUCGGAGAUUUCCCUUCGGGGACAGAAGUGACAGGUGGUGCAUGGUUGUCGUCAGCUCGUGUCGUGAGAUGUUGGGUUAAGUCCCGCAACGAGCGCAACCCUUGCCUUUAGUUGCCAGCAUUAAGUUGGGCACUCUAGAGGGACUGCCAGGGAUAACCUGGAGGAAGGUGGGGAUGACGUCAAAUCAUCAUGCCCCUUAUGCUUAGGGCUACACACGUGCUACAAUGGGUGGUACAGAGGGCAGCCAAGUCGUGAGGCGGAGCUAAUCCCUUAAAGCCAUUCUCAGUUCGGAUUGUAGGCUGAAACUCGCCUACAUGAAGCUGGAGUUACUAGUAAUCGCAGAUCAGAAUGCUGCGGUGAAUGCGUUCCCGGGUCUUGUACACACCGCCCGUCACACCACGGGAGUUGGGGGCGCCCGAAGCCGGAUUGCUAACCUUUUGGAAGCGUCCGUCGAAGGUGAAAUCAAUAACUGGGGUGAAGUCGUAACAAGGUAGCCGUAUCGGAAGGUGCGGCUGGAUCACCUCCUU
This 1494-nucleotide ribosomal RNA is filed under the name uncultured bacterium. RNAcentral's name for it is "bacterial SSU rRNA". It matches the Rfam family "Bacterial small subunit ribosomal RNA". The record is from RNAcentral.